ACCGAAAAAUAGGAAAUGGUCAAUGAUACAAACAAUGACAAUGUUACACGCACAUCUUGCUUGUUACUGGUAUGGCCCUUUGUGAAAUAAAGUUUUCUAGAGAACAAAGGAAAAACAACAAAGUAACAUAUCUCGUUUAAGGUUGAUGGAUUGGUGUGCAAUCCUAGUGUUAAGCUGAUCAUGACUUCUAUUGAUGAAGAUAUAGGGACAGGCUUGCUUCUUCCAUCAUAAUCCCCUUUCUCUUUACGGGACUGUGCAUGUGUAUAGAUAUGCGUCAGGCUGGAUUUUAGGUUUCUUUCUUGACCUUGCAGGUGCAUCUAUGUUUGUCAGGUCUUAGUUAUCCAUGAAGAUGCUGCCACUGUGUCACAUUCAAGACACUUAUGAAUAUGUCAUAACAACAAAUCAAUGAAUACUUCAAUUCUUUACC
Long non-coding RNA from Nicotiana attenuata, 427 nucleotides. RefSeq lists it as uncharacterized. The record is from RefSeq and is a predicted model, not a curated record. The transcript has 3 exons. NCBI's taxonomy places the organism in Eukaryota, Viridiplantae, Streptophyta, Magnoliopsida, Solanales, Solanaceae.